AGCACAAUGAGUGCUUGGUGUGGACGUGGGAGCAGAUUAUGCGGAGCUUUUGUGAAGAGAAAAAUAUCACAUCGGAAAUCAUGUCAAAGUGUUAGAUGUUACUGGAGCUUGAAGUGAACAAGCAAGAAGCCUAAUUGUCAGAGAAGGGUGUAUAUUCCAGACUUUGCCACUACAAAUGACAAUGCAUGUAUCUGCUACGUUUUUUAAUUCCGUGCAUUGACUCGUUUUCCUGGAGAAAGAAAGCAAAUGGAAAAUAUUACCCUGUAUCCUGGGCAGACUAGAGAACUUGGGUCUCACUGUGCUCACCAAGAAUUAAACGGGCCAGAUGGAGAACUGGAGUAAGUGCCUUCCAGAGGAGAGUUUCAGCUGGACCAAGAAUUAUGAGCCAAUGAAGUGGGAAGCCAUAUUUGAGGGCGCCCCCUUAGACUUCAGAGUGCACUACAUUAAUUGCUCCUAUAGACUUUCUCUCCAUCUGAAAUACUGCCAAAGAGAGAGUUUCCAUUUUCAAGAAGCUUUUCUCUGGAAUGAGGAGCUCACCACUAAGUUAAAAGUACCAGUAAGUAUCAGACAAUCAGAUUCAUGUUUUUAAACCAGGAAAGUAUCAGCUCAAUGAGCACCUCCAGGGGGAAAAGGGCACCAAAGUCCCAUAGGAGGCUUCUGGGCAUGGCCAGAGAGCAUGGGCUCCAGAUGCUGAUGGCUGCACCACUCGCUGCCUGAGUGGCCUUGACAAAGACGAUGAAUUUGCUGAAAAUGCUACUUCCCUAUCAACAAAAUGGAAAUAAUCUUGUAAGGUGAUUCAGAGAUACACACAGAUGGCAGGCAUGCAAAAAACCUUCUCUUGACCACCUCUCCUGCAAGCAAUCUCCAGUUGCCUCUGCCAUCACCUCAUCAUGAGAGUCCCAGAUCCCCCCACUCUCCUGGCAGUUUUGUCCAGGGACAGUUCUGUCCACAGAAAUGACCAAAUGAUUAUAUCAUGGAAUCUCAAAGAAAAUAUGAGAAGUUAUUUAGUCCAUGUAGAAAGAAGGUGAAGAAAAAUAUUCAAUGUAAUUUAAAUUGUUUUGUAAUUGGCCAGGUGUGGUGGUUCAUGCCUGUAACCCCAGCACGUUGAGAGCCCAAGGUGGGCAGAUCACCUGAGGUUAGGAGUUCAAGACCAUCCUGGCCAACAUGGUGAAACCCGGUCUUUACUAAAAGUACAAAAAUUAGCCGGGCAUGGUGGCAUGCACCUGUAAUCCCAGCUACUUGGGAGGCUGAGGCAGGAGAAUCACUUGAACCCAGGAUGCGGAGGCUGCAGUGAGCCAAGAUUGUCCCAUUGCACUCCAGCAUGGGCAACAGAGUGAGACUCCAUCUCAAAAAAUAAAUAAGUAAAUACAUAAAUAAAUAAUUUUGUAAUCAGUAAUGGUAACAUACCCCUCUUGAUUGAGGUAUACUAAUAAUCAUUCCUAUUUAAACAAAAAACAAAAAAAAAUCCUUAUAAAGCAUUUAAAAGUGGCAAAGCACUUUUAUAUUUAUUUUCUAAUUUAAUCUUUAGAAUGAUCUGGUAUUAUUAGCAGAGUAAAAAGUUCUACCAAUUUUAAAGAGGAGGAAACUGAAGCACUAAGGAUUUGUCUGGCUUGACCCAAUCACAUAGAGUUGCUGGAAAAACAGCUCAGGCAAACUCAAAUAGUAUUUUUUUCAUAGCAUGUCACACUUCCUGAAUAAAUUUCUCUAAAAGAG
RNAcentral lists this long non-coding RNA (1713 nucleotides) under Homo sapiens (human). RNAcentral's name for it is "non-protein coding lnc-MON1B-2:1". Lineage: Eukaryota; Metazoa; Chordata; Mammalia; Primates; Hominidae. The record is from RNAcentral.